RNAcentral lists this transfer RNA (67 nucleotides) under Marmota monax (woodchuck). RNAcentral describes it as "tRNA.Glu". Lineage: Eukaryota; Metazoa; Chordata; Mammalia; Rodentia; Sciuridae. The record is from RNAcentral.
GGUUGUGGCUCAGUGGUAGAGCACUUGCCCUUCACUUGCAAGGUACUGGGUUCGAUCCUCAGCACCA